UGGAGAUGUUCCUUGGGGGUAUGUAUAAUCCAUUCAACAUAUGCAUGUGUGUAUUUAUGUUAAUGCAUGAUGCAAUGAAAUUCUACAUAUAUUUUUUAAGCCUGAAAGCCAAGGCCAUGUGGGCAAGCAAGAAAAUUAGGGCUAGUAGAUGGUUCGGAUUGGAUUUGCAGUUAUGAUGGUGAAAAAUUACAUGAUUCUAGUUAUCAACUUGUAGAGAGGGUACUAUUCGUUGUUAGACUCAGUAGCAUGAAAACAAAGAUGCUACAAAGAGAUAUGGUUGAUGGAGAGAGAGAGAGAGAGAG
This 302-nucleotide unclassified non-coding RNA is filed under the name Hevea brasiliensis (rubber tree). Lineage: Eukaryota; Viridiplantae; Streptophyta; Magnoliopsida; Malpighiales; Euphorbiaceae. The record is from RNAcentral.